GACGAACGCUGGCGGCGUGCCUAACACAUGCAAGUCGAACGGAGAUAUGAUUUCGGUUGUAUCUUAGUGGCGAACGGGUGAGUAACGCGUGAGCAACCUGACUCUUAGAGGGGGAUAACACUCGGAAACGGGUGCUAAUACCGCAUAAGACCACGACAUGGCAUCAUGACGAGGUCAAAGGAGCAAUCCGCUGAGAGAGGGGCGCGCGUCCCAUUAGAUAGAUGGCGGGGUAACGGCCCACCAUGUCAACGAUGGGUAGCCGAGCUGAGAGGCUGAGCGGCCACACUGGAACUGAGACACGGUCCAGACUCCUACGGGAGGCAGCAGUGGGGAAUAUUGGGCAAUGGGCGCAAGCCUGACCCAGCAACGCCGCGUGAGGGAAGAAGGCUUUCGGGUUGUAAACCUCUGACCUUGGUGACGAAACAAAUGACGGUAGCCAAGGAGGAAGCCCCGGCUAACUACGUGCCAGCCGCCGCCGUAA
This 481-nucleotide ribosomal RNA is filed under the name uncultured bacterium. RNAcentral's name for it is "partial 16S ribosomal RNA". It matches the Rfam family "Bacterial small subunit ribosomal RNA", at positions 28 to 523 of the family's 1533-position model. The record is from RNAcentral.